This 465-nucleotide ribosomal RNA is filed under the name Vreelandella stevensii. RNAcentral's name for it is "partial 16S ribosomal RNA". It matches the Rfam family "Bacterial small subunit ribosomal RNA", at positions 338 to 795 of the family's 1533-position model. The record is from RNAcentral. Lineage: Bacteria; Pseudomonadati; Pseudomonadota; Gammaproteobacteria; Oceanospirillales; Halomonadaceae.
CCUACGGGUGGCUGCAGUGGGGAAUAUUGGACAAUGGGCGAAAGCCUGAUCCAGCCAUGCCGCGUGUGUGAAGAAGGCCUUCGGGUUGUAAAGCACUUUCAGUGGGGAAGAAAGCCUUGGGGCUAAUACCCUCGAGGAAGGACAUCACCCACAGAAGAAGCACCGGCUAACUCCGUGCCAGCAGCCGCGGUAAUACGGAGGGUGCGAGCGUUAAUCGGAAUUACUGGGCGUAAAGCGCGCGUAGGCGGUCUGAUAAGCCGGUUGUGAAAGCCCCGGGCUCAACCUGGGAACGGCAUCCGGAACUGUCAGGCUAGAGUGCAGGAGAGGAAGGUAGAAUUCGCGGUGUAGCGGUGAAAUGCGUAGAGAUCGGGAGGAAUACCAGUGGCGAAGGCGGCCUUCUGGACUGACACUGACGCUGAGGUGCGAAAGCGUGGGUAGCAAACAGGAUUAGAUACCCUGGUAGUC